ACAUUUGACUUUAAGCUUAAGCCAUGCUUGCAGGGUGCACCCUUUUCUGUUUACUGUUAAAGGCUCAUUUCACAUGACGCCAUAGUUCAGAUCCCUCACUCCUGGAUAUUCGUAGGAAUUUCACGCAAAACACGCCGUCUGCGACGAUGUUGUCAGCAUUUCCGCUUCCGGGGUCUAGCGUCUGACUAUGCUUCGUAGAUUCUAUGAUCAUCACAACAACGCCGUCACUUCUUUGAUGCGUCUUACCUAUCAGCAUUUAUGCUUUGGUAGGGUCGAAGUUUAGCUUGAACGGGAAUCGGAGGAUGAGGGUUUGACGCCGGAGAGGAAGCCUUGGACACCGCUUUCACUUCUAAGGAAGGCAGCAGGCGCGUAAAUUACUCCAUUCUAUUCUGGUGAGGUAGUGAAAAGAAAUUUUGAAGGAAAGGUAUCUUUCACCUCCAGAUUUAUCAUUGCUGAAAUAGCACGAAUAGCACAGACUGAAGGGCAAGCCUGGUGCCAGCAGCUGCGGUAACACCAGCUUCACAAAUGUAUAUCAACUUUGUUGCAAUUAAAUCGCUCGUUAUGUAUGUUGUUGGAUAAGUGGCUGCACGUCGAUGGGUGCACCCGCUGACUUCAUCAGCUUUUUGAUUACGUGAAUGUGGCAGAGAUGCAUACACAUGUGUGUCCUCAUGUCUUGGUGUCCUCUCGAGGUUGAUUUCGUGUUUGACUUUCAAAUCUUGCAAUCUCUUCAGCAUGGAAUGGUAUCUAAAUCAUCGGCGCCAUGCCGUCGUUUUAGAAGGAUAGCGGACGGGGGAGUUUGAAUUUCAUUGAUAGAGGUGAUAUUCUAUGAUCGGUGAAGGGCAACAUAUUGCGAAAGCAAAAUCCAAGAAUGUUUUUCUCAAUAAGGAACGAAAGUCAGGGAUUCGAAGACGAUUAGACACUGUCCUAGUCCUGGCCGUAAACUAUGCCUGUACAGUGUUCUCGAAGAUAUGAGUGUCAUUCAUGAGCUUGGAUCAAGAAAUUUGAAAUGUUUAGCUUUGGGGGGAGUACGGAAGCAAGUUAGAAACUUUAAGGAAUUGACGGAAGGGCACCACCAGAAGUGGAGCGUACGGCUUAAUUUGACUCAACGCCGAGAACCUCACCAGUUCCAGACGAUGGAAGGAUUGACGGCUACACUUCAUGAUUCUUUGGAUAGUGGUGCAUGGCCGUUCUUGGUUGGUGGAGCGAUUUGUCUGGUUUAUUCCGUUAACGAACGAGACCUUGACUUUAAAUGGGCUGCACCUAACGAGGCGAAGUCGUGUGAGCAGGACAAAACCUUACAUACGUCAGGAAGGCGAAGGCUAAAGCAGGUCUGUGAUGCCCUUUGAUGUCUUGGGCAGCACGUGCGCUACACUGAAAAUUUCAUCAUGUAACCUUGAUGUUGUAAUGCAGAAAGUACUACGGUUUUGUAUGACAGGACUUCGUUCUUGAAAUUUUGGACGAUAAACGAGGAAUUCCAAGUAGACCAGAGUCAUCACCUCGUGUCGGACUAGUCCCUGCCUUUUGUACACACCGCCCGUCGCUCCUACCAAUACAGUGAUUUGGCUAACUGUUCAGAUCUGAACCAAAAUCUUUGCUGGUCAAGGAACGAUUGGUAAUCCAUGAUACUCAGAGGAAGGAGAAGUCGUAACAAGGUUUUUGUAGGUGAACCUGCAGAAG
This 1677-nucleotide ribosomal RNA is filed under the name metagenome. RNAcentral describes it as "bacterial SSU rRNA". It matches the Rfam family "Eukaryotic small subunit ribosomal RNA". The record is from RNAcentral.